Molecule: ribosomal RNA, 497 nt
Filed under: uncultured bacterium
Lineage: Bacteria
Description: bacterial SSU rRNA
Rfam family: Bacterial small subunit ribosomal RNA
Source: RNAcentral
AAGAGUUGAUCAUGGCUCAGGACGAACGCUGGCGGCAUGCCUAACACAUGCAAGUCGAACGGAGUUCGAGGGGCUUGCUCCUUGAACUUAGUGGCGGACGGGUGAGUAACGCGUGAGUAACCUGCCUUUCAGUGGGGAAUAAUAUUCUGAAAAGAGUACUAAUACCGCAUAACGUAUAGAAGCCGCAUGACUUUUAUACCAAAGAUUUAUCGCUGAGAGAUGGACUCGCGUCCGAUUAGCCAGUUGGUGAGGUAACGGCUCACCAAAGCAACGAUCGGUAGCCGGACUGAGAGGUUGAACGGCCACAUUGGGACUGAGACACGGCCCAGACUCCUACGGGAGGCAGCAGUGGGGGAUAUUGUGCAAUGGGGGAAAACCCUGACAACAGCAAUGCCGCGUGAAGGAUGAAGGUCUUCGGAUUGUAAACUUCUUUUGUCAAGGACGAUAAUGACGGUACUUGACGAAUAAGCUCCGGCUAACUACGUGCCAGCCGCUGC